CAGGCGGUUGGUCAGACGGACCGGCCGGGUGUCGCCCUGCGGCGCGGCGGCGGCGCCCAGCGGUUCUAAGCCGCCCUGUCUGGC
RNAcentral lists this transfer RNA (84 nucleotides) under Klebsiella quasipneumoniae. Its description in RNAcentral is "tRNA-Asp(gtc)". Lineage: Bacteria; Pseudomonadati; Pseudomonadota; Gammaproteobacteria; Enterobacterales; Enterobacteriaceae. The record is from RNAcentral.